RNAcentral lists this ribosomal RNA (1251 nucleotides) under Paulownia witches'-broom phytoplasma. Its description in RNAcentral is "bacterial SSU rRNA". It matches the Rfam family "Bacterial small subunit ribosomal RNA", at positions 151 to 1402 of the family's 1533-position model. The record is from RNAcentral. Lineage: Bacteria; Bacillati; Mycoplasmatota; Mollicutes; Acholeplasmatales; Acholeplasmataceae.
UGGAAACGACUGCUAAGACUGGAUAGGAGACAAGAAGGCAUCUUCUUGUUUUUAAAAGACCUAGCAAUAGGUAUGCUUAGGGAGGAGCUUGCGUCACAUUAGUUAGUUGGUGGGGUAAAGGCCUACCAAGACUAUGAUGUGUAGCCGGGCUGAGAGGUUGAACGGCCACAUUGGGACUGAGACACGGCCCAAACUCCUACGGGAGGCAGCAGUAGGGAAUUUUCGGCAAUGGAGGAAACUCUGACCGAGCAACGCCGCGUGAACGAUGAAGUAUUUCGGUACGUAAAGUUCUUUUAUUAAGGAAGAAUAAAUGAUGGAAAAAUCAUUCUGACGGUACCUAAUGAAUAAGCCCCGGCUAACUAUGUGCCAGCAGCCGCGGUAAUACAUAGGGGGCAAGCGUUAUCCGGAAUUAUUGGGCGUAAAGGGUGCGUAGGCGGUUAAAUAAGUUUAUGGUCUAAGUGCAAUGCUCAACAUUGUGAUGCUAUAAAAACUGUUUAGCUAGAGUAAGAUAGAGGCAAGUGGAAUUCCAUGUGUAGUGGUAAAAUGCGUAAAUAUAUGGAGGAACACCAGUAGCGAAGGCGGCUUGCUGGGUCUUUACUGACGCUGAGGCACGAAAGCGUGGGGAGCAAACAGGAUUAGAUACCCUGGUAGUCCACGCCGUAAACGAUGAGUACUAAACGUUGGGUAAAACCAGUGUUGAAGUUAACACAUUAAGUACUCCGCCUGAGUAGUACGUACGCAAGUAUGAAACUUAAAGGAAUUGACGGGACUCCGCACAAGCGGUGGAUCAUGUUGUUUAAUUCGAAGGUACCCGAAAAACCUCACCAGGUCUUGACAUGCUUCUGCAAAGCUGUAGAAACACAGUGGAGGUUAUCAGUUGCACAGGUGGUGCAUGGUUGUCGUCAGCUCGUGUCGUGAGAUGUUGGGUUAAGUCCCGCAACGAGCGCAACCCUUAUUGUUAGUUACCAGCACGUAAUGGUGGGGACUUUAGCAAGACUGCCAGUGAUAAAUUGGAGGAAGGUGGGGACGACGUCAAAUCAUCAUGCCCCUUAUGACCUGGGCUACAAACGUGAUACAAUGGCUGUUACAAAGGGUAGCUGAAGCGCAAGUUUUUGGCGAAUCUCAAAAAAACAGUCUCAGUUCGGAUUGAAGUCUGCAACUCGACUUCAUGAAGUUGGAAUCGCUAGUAAUCGCGAAUCAGCAUGUCGCGGUGAAUACGUUCUCGGGGUUUGUACACACCGCCCGUCAAAC